AGCGGCAACAGCUCAAAUUUGAAAUCUGGCUUUCGGGCCCGAGUUGUAAUUUGUAGAGGAUACUUUUGAUGCGGUGCCUUCCGAGUUCCCUGGAACGGGACGCCAUAGAGGGUGAGAGCCCCGUCUGGUUGGAUGCCAAAUCUCUGUAAAGUUCCUUCGACGAGUCGAGUAGUUUGGGAAUGCUGCUCUAAAUGGGAGGUAUAUGUCUUCUAAAGCUAAAUAUUGGCCAGAGACCGAUAGCGCACAAGUAGAGUGAUCGAAAGAUGAAAAGCACUUUGAAAAGAGAGUUAAAAAGUACGUGAAAUUGUUGAAAGGGAAGCGUUUAUGACCAGACUUGGACUUGGUUAAUCAUCUGGGGUUCUCCCCAGUGCACUUUUCCAGUUCAGGCCAGCAUCAGUUUUCGCCGGGGGAUAAAGGCUUCGGGAAUGUAGCUCUCUUCGGGGAGUGUUAUAGCCCGUUGUGUAAUACCCUGGUGGAGACUGAGGUUCGCGCUUCUGCAAGGAUGCUGGCGUAAUGGUCAUCAACGACCCGUCUUGAAACACGGACCAAGGAGUCGUCUUCGUAUGCGAGUGUUCGGGUGUCAAACCCCUACGCGUAAUGAAAGUGAACGCAGGUGAGAGCUUCGGCGCAUCAUCGACCGAUCCUGAUGUUCUCGGAUGGAUUUGAGUAAGAGCAUACGGGGCCGGACCCGAAAGAAGGUGAACUAUGCCUGUAUAGGGUGAAGCCAGAGGAAACUCUGGUGGAGGCUCGCAGCGGUUCUGACGUGCAAAUCGAUCGUCAAAUAUGGGCAUG
Molecule: ribosomal RNA, 792 nt
Filed under: Fusarium heterosporum
Lineage: Eukaryota; Fungi; Ascomycota; Sordariomycetes; Hypocreales; Nectriaceae
Description: eukaryotic LSU rRNA
Rfam family: Eukaryotic large subunit ribosomal RNA
Source: RNAcentral